GACAGAGGAGCCAAGCGUUGUCCGGAUUGACUGGCGUAAAGCGCACGCAGGUGGUCGCGCAAGUGCCGUGUGAAAGCCGGUGGCUUAACUGCCGGAGGCCAUGGCAGACUGCGUAACUCGAGUCCGAGAGAGGUCCGUGGAAUUGCCGGUGUAGUGGUGAAAUGCGUAGAGAUCGGCAGGAACACCCAGGGAGAAAUCAGCGGACUGGCUCGGUACUGACACUGAGGUGCGAAAGCGUGGGGAGCGAACUGG
This 252-nucleotide ribosomal RNA is filed under the name uncultured bacterium. RNAcentral's name for it is "partial 16S ribosomal RNA". It matches the Rfam family "Bacterial small subunit ribosomal RNA", at positions 524 to 776 of the family's 1533-position model. The record is from RNAcentral.